CAGCAGUCACUCACGUCAGUCCAAAUAGAAAUCUAGCACAAAGUUGUCCGAAGGGUGUCAGUUUGGUCUGGAUCACUGACUUUUCUCCCAUCAAAAAAAAACAUUGACUUGAAAUCCUUAGCUGCAAUGAAGCCUUUGAAAGAUAGACUGGAAAAGUGAACUUUUUCUUGAUUCAUUCUGCAGAACUUAAAAAAAAACCAACACAAUGACAUUUCUUUAAUAUCCAGGUAGCAUGUCUCAACAGCAAAGCGGACAAGGUGAUGGGGCAUGUGCCAUUGUGGACGGUGAUAAUUCUCCUGAAGGAGCAGCUGGGAAGUUGAAGAAGUGAAAAAUCAAUGAACUGUGUAACUGAUCAUCUGAAGAAGUUCUGAAAAUCCCCCAAACUGGUCAAUGUCUACCACGAG
Molecule: long non-coding RNA, 404 nt
Filed under: Gallus gallus (chicken)
Lineage: Eukaryota; Metazoa; Chordata; Aves; Galliformes; Phasianidae
Source: RNAcentral